Molecule: ribosomal RNA, 530 nt
Filed under: uncultured Cortinariaceae
Lineage: Eukaryota; Fungi; Basidiomycota; Agaricomycetes; Agaricales; Cortinariaceae
Description: eukaryotic LSU rRNA
Rfam family: 5.8S ribosomal RNA (bases 243-396)
Source: RNAcentral
UCAUUAUUGAAUGAACUUGGUGUGGUUGUUGCUGGCCCUUUUGGGGGCAUGUGCACACCCACCAUCCUCAUCUCUCCACCUGUGCACCUCUUGUAGACCUGGGAUAGAUUUUCCGAGGCAACUCGGUCUGGAGGAAUGCUGCCCUAAGCUUUCUUUGUAUUUCCUGGUCUAUGUUUUUCAUAUACCCGAUAGCAUGUAACAGAAUGUAUCAUUUGGGCGCUUGUGCCCUAUAAACCUUAUACAACUUUCAGCAACGGAUCUCUUGGCUCUCGCAUCGAUGAAGAACGCAGCGAAAUGCGAUAAGUAAUGUGAAUUGCAGAAUUCAGUGAAUCAUCGAAUCUUUGAACGCACCUUGCGCUCCUUGGUAUUCCGAGGAGCAUGCCUGUUUGAGUGUCAUUAAAUUCUCAACCUUAUCAGUUUAUUUCUGAUAGUGGCUUGGAUGUGGGGUUGCUGGCUUGGUCAGCUCCCCUUAAAUGCAUUAGCUGGUGCCCUGUGUACUUGGUGUGAUAAUUAUCUACGCCAUGGAUUAG